AAAAGCUCAGCCAAAUAGGCCCUUACGGCAUGUUUAUUUCAUCGAAGGUGAAGUUUAUUAGGUUAAAGUAGACUUUCAGGUGAACUAGAGUUUAAAAAAGUAUACUUCCCUUCCGCUGUUUAUUUGUCUAGCUUUGGAACUAAAGUUUUUCAGUUCUUCUGUUCGGCUGGCAGGAAGCGAAUGACGUAAAAGACGAAGGUCUGAAAGGUGGGUUAAUAUUUUAUAAUUUUUUCUUACCUUUUUUUUUCAGUAAUUGACUUCGGACUGAAAUGAUCCGAAGGCAAUUACGCUAUUUUGGGGAGUUUAAGUUUCGACC
Molecule: long non-coding RNA, 316 nt
Filed under: Ananas comosus (pineapple)
Lineage: Eukaryota; Viridiplantae; Streptophyta; Magnoliopsida; Poales; Bromeliaceae
Description: long non-coding RNA (ACOM_LNC018485)
Source: RNAcentral